AGCUUUGCACAGUGGCAGUAUCAUAGCCAAUGAGGUUUACCUGAGGCGCGAUUAUUGCUAAUUGAAAA
This 68-nucleotide small nuclear RNA is filed under the name Cervus elaphus hippelaphus. It matches the Rfam family "U4 spliceosomal RNA", at positions 1 to 68 of the family's 138-position model. From Rfam's summary of the family: U4 small nuclear RNA (U4 snRNA) is a component of the major U2-dependent spliceosome. Lineage: Eukaryota; Metazoa; Chordata; Mammalia; Artiodactyla; Cervidae. The record is from RNAcentral.